AAAAAAAAGUAGCGAAGUCCGGAUACAUGCUGUCAAGAAAAGCCGCUAUUGCGCCAUAUGUACCCGUACCGUAAACCGACACAGGUGGAUGAGGAGAGAAUCCUAAGGCCGGCGGGAGAAGUGUUGUUAAGGAACUCGGCAAAAUGGCCCCGUAACUUCGGGAGAAGGGGCGCCCAGAAAUGGGCCGCAGAGAAAAGGCUCAAGCAACUGUUUAGCAAAAACACAGGUCUAUGCGAAACCGAAAGGUGAGGUAUAUGGGCUGACGCCUGCCCGGUGCUGGAAGGUUAAGGGGAGAGGUUAGCCGCAAGGCGAAGCUUUGAACUUAAGCCCCAGUAAACGGCGGCCGUAACGAUAACGGUCCUAAGGUAGCGAAAUUCCUUGUCGGGUAAGUUCCGACCCGCACGAAAGGCGUAAUGAUUUGAGCACUGUCUCGACAACACACCCGGUGAAAUUGAAAUACCAGUGAAGAUGCUGGUUACCUGCGCCAGGACGGAAAGACCCCAUGGAGCUUUACUCUAGUUUGAUACUGGGACCCGGUAUGACAUGUACAGGAUAGGUGGGAGGCAGAGAAUUAAUGACGCCAGUCAUUAAGGAGCCGGUGUUGGGAUACCACCCUUGUGAUGCCAGGUUUCUAACGAGCUGCCGUGAACCGGCAGGCGGACAAUGUCAGGCGGGGAGUUUGACUGGGGCGGUCGCCUCCGAAAGGGUAUCGGAGGCGCUCAAAGGUUCCCUCAGAAUGGUUGGAAACCAUUCGGAGAGUGCAAAGGCAGAAGGGAGCCUGACUGCGACACCGACGGGUGGAGCAGGUACGAAAGUAGGACUUAGUGAUCCGGUGGUAUAAAGUGGGAUUGCCAUCGCUCAACGGAUAAAAGCUACCCUGGGAUAACAGGCUUAUCACUCCCAAGAGUUCACAUCGACGGAGUGGUUUGGCACCUGAUGUCGGCUCAUCGCAUCCUGGGGCUGGAGUAGGUCCCAAGGGUUGGGCUGUUCGCCCAUUAAAGCGUUACGCGAGCUGGGUUCAGAACGUCGUGAGACAGUUCGGUCCCUAUCCGGCGCGGGCGUAAGAGAUUUGAGAGGAGCUGUCCUUAGUACGAGAGGACCGGGAUGGACGGACCACUGGUGUAUCUGUUGCACCACCAGGUGCACGGCAGAGUAGCCAAGUCUGGAAGGGAUAAACGCUGAAGGCAUCUAAGCGUGAAGCCCCCCUCAAGAUAAGAUCUCUCAUUCGAAAGAAGUAAGACCCCUUGAAGACGACGAGGUAGAUAGGGCAGGGGUGGAAGGGCAGUAAUGUCCGGAGCUGACUGUUACUAAUCGGUCGAGGGCUUGACC
This 1329-nucleotide ribosomal RNA is filed under the name metagenome. Its description in RNAcentral is "bacterial LSU rRNA". It matches the Rfam family "Bacterial large subunit ribosomal RNA", at positions 1575 to 2925 of the family's 2925-position model. The record is from RNAcentral.